Molecule: non-coding RNA, 20 nt
Filed under: Arabidopsis thaliana (thale cress)
Lineage: Eukaryota; Viridiplantae; Streptophyta; Magnoliopsida; Brassicales; Brassicaceae
Also listed under: 2 other names
Source: RNAcentral
GCCCAGUGCUCUGAAUGUCA